GACGAACGCUGGCGGCGUGCUUAACACAUGCAAGUCGAACGGAAAGGCCCUGCUUUUGUGGGGUGCUCGAGUGGCGAACGGGUGAGUAACACGUGAGUAACCUGCCCUUGACUUUGGGAUAAUUUCAGGAAACUGGGGCUAAUACCGGAUAGGAGCUCCUGCUGCAUGGUGGGGGUUGGAAAGUUUCGGCGGUUGGGGAUGGACUCGCGGCUUAUCAGCUUGUUGGUGGGGUAGUGGCUUACCAAGGCUUUGACGGGUAGCCGGCCUGAGAGGGUGACCGGCCACAUUGGGACUGAGAUACGGCCCAGACUCCUACGGGAGGCAGCAGUGGGGAAUAUUGCACAAUGGGCGGAAGCCUGAUGCAGCAACGCCGCGUGCGGGAUGACGGCCUUCGGGUUGUAAACCGCUUUCGCCUGUGACGAAGCGUGAGUGACGGUAAUGGGUAAAGAAGCACCGGCUAACUACGUGCCAGCAGCCGCGGUGAUACGUAGGGUGCGAGCGUUGUCCGGAUUUAUUGGGCGUAAAGGGCUCGUAGGUGGUUGAUCGCGUCGGAAGUGUAAUCUUGGGGCUUAACCCUGAGCGUGCUUUCGAUACGGGUUGACUUGAGGAAGGUAGGGGAGAAUGGAAUUCCUGGUGGAGCGGUGGAAUGCGCAGAUAUCAGGAGGAACACCAGUGGCGAAGGCGGUUCUCUGGGCCUUUCCUGACGCUGAGGAGCGAAAGCGUGGGGAGCGAACAGGCUUAGAUACCCUGGUAGUCCACGCUGUAAACGGUGGGUACUAGGUGUGGGGUCCAUUCCACGGGUUCCGUGCCGUAGCUAACGCUUUAAGUACCCCGCCUGGGGAGUACGGCCGCAAGGCUAAAACUCAAAGGAAUUGACGGGGCCCCGCACAAGCGGCGGAGCAUGCGGAUUAAUUCGAUGCAACGCGUAGAACCUUACCUGGGUUUGACAUGGAUCGGGAGUGCUCAGAGAUGGGUGUGCCUCUUUUGGGGUCGGUUCACAGGUGGUGCAUGCCUGUCGUCAGCUCGUGUCGUGAGAUGUUGGGUUAAGUCCCGCAACGAGCGCAACCCUUGUUCACUGUUGCCAGCACGUUAUGGUGGGGACUCAGUGGAGACCGCCGGGGUCAACUCGGAGGAAGGUGGGGAUGACGUCAAGUCAUCAUGCCCCUUAUGUCCAGGGCUUCACGCAUGCUACAAUGGCUGGUACAGAGAGUGGCGAGCCUGUGAGGGUGAGCGAAUCUCGGAAAGCCGGUCUCAGUUCGGAUUGGGGUCUGCAACUCGACCUCAUGAAGUCGGAGUCGCUAGUAAUCGCAGAUCAGCAACGCUGCGGUGAAUACGUUCCCGGGGCU
Molecule: ribosomal RNA, 1346 nt
Filed under: uncultured bacterium
Lineage: Bacteria
Description: partial 16S ribosomal RNA
Rfam family: Bacterial small subunit ribosomal RNA
Source: RNAcentral